AGCGAACGCUGGCGGCAGGCCUAACACAUGCAAGUCGAGCGGCCGUAGCAAUACGGCAGCGGCAGACGGGAGAGUAACACGUGGGAACGUGCCCUUUGGUUCGGAAUAACGCAGGGAAACUUGCGCUAAUACCGGAUAAGCCCUUACGGGGAAGGAUUAUCGCCAUUGGAGCGGCCCGCGUCUGAUUAGCUAGUUGGUGAGGUAACGGCUCACCAAGGCGACGACGCGUAGCCGGA
RNAcentral lists this ribosomal RNA (236 nucleotides) under uncultured bacterium. RNAcentral describes it as "partial 16S ribosomal RNA". It matches the Rfam family "Bacterial small subunit ribosomal RNA", at positions 29 to 291 of the family's 1533-position model. The record is from RNAcentral.